AACGAACGCUGGCGGCAUGCCUAACACAUGCAAGUCGAACGAGACCUUCGGGUCUAGUGGCGCACGGGUGGGUAACGCGUGGGAACCUGCCCUUAGGUUCGGAAUAACUCCCCGAAAGGGGUGCUAAUACCGGAUAAUGUCUUCGGACCAAAGAUUUCUCGCCUUUGGAUGGGCCCGCGUUGGAUUAGCUAGUUGGUAGGGUAAAAGCCUACCAAGGCGACGAUCCAUAGCUGGUCUGAGAGGAUGAUCAGCCACACUGGGACUGAGACACGGCCCAGACUCCUACGGGAGGCAGCAGUGGGGAAUAUUGGACAAUGGGCGAAAGCCUGAUCCAGCAAUGCCGCGUGAGUGAUGAAGGCCUUAGGGUUGUAAAGCUCUUUUACCCGGGAUGAUAAUGACAGUACCGGGAGAAUAAGCCCCGGCUAACUCCGUG
Molecule: ribosomal RNA, 433 nt
Filed under: uncultured bacterium
Lineage: Bacteria
Description: partial 16S ribosomal RNA
Rfam family: Bacterial small subunit ribosomal RNA
Source: RNAcentral